AAUUAGCUGGCGUAGCCAUUGUUGCAGGAUUGUUCUUUGAAAGCAACCAGCAGACAGCCAGAGUGUCUGACUUAGUUUUACUCCCUAAACCAGGAUGCUGGACACGCUGGUUUGACAGAGAUGACCCCUCUGGAAGUGGAGACUGGGAAACCCUCUCUGAUCUUCGCAAUGAGUACCCAGGAAAGAUCUGCUCUAAACCAUUAGCUAUUGAGGCGAGAACUCUAUCUGGACUCACUGUGGCUGCAGCAGGUGAUGUGAUUUAUCUAAGGGACACCACUAAAGGAUUUGUCUGCAGGAACCAGGACCAACCCAGGCCUAAGAUGUGUAAGGAUUAUCGUGUUCGUUUCAGCUGCCCUCGCUCUUUCUGUAAAGGUACGGUCUGAACACAUUCAUGUGCGGUGUUA
This is a long non-coding RNA of Perca fluviatilis (European perch), 404 nucleotides long. RefSeq lists it as uncharacterized. NCBI's taxonomy places the organism in Eukaryota, Metazoa, Chordata, Actinopteri, Perciformes, Percidae. The record is from RefSeq and is a predicted model, not a curated record. The transcript has 4 exons.